Molecule: small nuclear RNA, 186 nt
Filed under: Ovis aries (sheep)
Lineage: Eukaryota; Metazoa; Chordata; Mammalia; Artiodactyla; Bovidae
Description: U4 spliceosomal RNA (ENSOARG00000040571.1, ENSOARG00180032795.1, ENSOARG00185041016.1, ENSOARG00220043627.1)
Rfam family: U4 spliceosomal RNA (bases 1-112)
About the family: U4 small nuclear RNA (U4 snRNA) is a component of the major U2-dependent spliceosome. The structure of U4 snRNA from yeast and human has been reported.
Source: RNAcentral
AGCUUUGCGCAGUGGCAGUAUCGUAGCCAAUGAGGUUUAUCCGAGGCGCGAUUAUUGCUAAUUGAAAACUUUUCCCUAAAACUCCUUCUGUGAUAUCUGAAGCUACCCAGCUGUCCAAACCAUGAAGCAAGCAGAUGAUGAGUAGAAAAGUCAAUUUCUAAUCUUUCACUCAGUUAAAUAAAUGAA